GAUGAACGCUGGCGGCGUGCCUAAUACAUGCAAGUCGAGCGAACGGACGAGAAGCUUGCUUCUCUGAUGUUAGCGGCGGACGGGUGAGUAACACGUGGAGAACCUACCUAUAAGACUGGGAUAACUUCGGGAAACCGGAGCUAAUACCGGAUAAUAUUUUGAACCGCAUGGUUCAAAAGUGAAAGACGGUCUUGCUGUCACUUAUAGAUGGAUCCGCGCUGCAUUAGCUAGUUGGUAAGGUAACGGCUUACCAAGGCAACGAUGCAUAGCCGACCUGAGAGGGUGAUCGGCCACACUGGAACUGAGACACGGUCCAGACUCCUACGGGAGGCAGCAGUAGGGAAUCUUCCGCAAUGGGCGAAAGCCUGACGGAGCAACGCCGCGUGAGUGAUGAAGGUCUUCGGAUCGUAAAACUCUGUUAUUAGGGAAGAACAUAUGUGUAAGUAACUGUGCACAUCUUGACGGUACCUAAUCAGAAAGCCACGGCUAACUACGUG
This 497-nucleotide ribosomal RNA is filed under the name uncultured bacterium. RNAcentral describes it as "partial 16S ribosomal RNA". It matches the Rfam family "Bacterial small subunit ribosomal RNA", at positions 28 to 507 of the family's 1533-position model. The record is from RNAcentral.